AUUGAACGCUGGCGGCAUGCCUUACACAUGCAAGUCGAACGGUAACGGGCCUUCGGGUGCCGACGAGUGGCGAACGGGUGAGUAAUACAUCGGAACGUGCCCGAUCGUGGGGGAUAACGAGGCGAAAGCUUUGCUAAUACCGCAUACGAUCUACGGAUGAAAGCAGGGGACCGCAAGGCCUUGCGCGGACGGAGCGGCCGAUGGCAGAUUAGGUAGUUGGUGGGAUAAAAGCUUACCAAGCCGACGAUCUGUAGCUGGUCUGAGAGGAUGAUCAGCCACACUGGGACUGAGACACGGCCCAGACUCCUACGGGAGGCAGCAGUGGGGAAUUUUGGACAAUGGGCGCAAGCCUGAUCCAGCCACGCCGCGUGCAGGAUGAAGGCCUUCGGGUCGUAAACUGCUUUUGUACGGAACGAAAAGCCUUCUUUUAAUACAGGAGGGUCAUGACGGUACCGUAAGAAUAAGCACCGGCUAACUACGUG
This 482-nucleotide ribosomal RNA is filed under the name uncultured bacterium. RNAcentral's name for it is "partial 16S ribosomal RNA". It matches the Rfam family "Bacterial small subunit ribosomal RNA", at positions 30 to 507 of the family's 1533-position model. The record is from RNAcentral.